CCUACGGGUGGCAGCAGUGGGGAAUAUUGCACAAUGGGGGAAACCCUGAUCCAGCAACGCCGCGUGAGUGAAGAAGUAUUUCGGUAUGUAAAGCUCUAUCAGCAGGGAAGAAAAUGACGGUACCUGACUAAGAAGCCCCGGCCAACUACGAGCCAGCAGCCGCGGUAAUACGGAGGGGGCAAGCGUUAUCCGGAUUUACUGGGUGUAAAGGGGGCGUAGGCGGCAGCACAAGUCUGGCGGGAAAUCCCCGGGCUUAACCCCGGAACUGCUUUGGAAACUGGGCGCCUGGAGUGCAGGAGAGGUAAGCGGAAUUCCUGGUGUAGCGGUGAAAUGCGUAGAUAUUAGGAGGAACACCGGUGGCGAAGGCGGCUUACUGGACUGUAACUGACGUUGAGGCACGAAAGCGUGGGGAGCAAACAGGAUUAGAUACCCCUGUAGUC
Molecule: ribosomal RNA, 440 nt
Filed under: uncultured bacterium
Lineage: Bacteria
Description: partial 16S ribosomal RNA
Rfam family: Bacterial small subunit ribosomal RNA
Source: RNAcentral